UCUUCCGGGCCUUUGUGUCUUGGAAUGCGACUGUCCCGAGCGUGCCGCCACCACCGCCUGCUUGGAAAGCCCACCAGUACUGAAAUCCCCGGCUGGACUUGGUUUCACCUUUUGGGGGUCCCUCGCCUUUUCUCUCUUUCUUUUAAUUGUUUUUUUCUUUUACACGUAUCUGGUUGAUUUCGCUCCCGAAGCCUGGGAAUAAAGGAACCGCAAGCAUCCAUCCUCGCUGGGGCGUCUCUGUCCCUCACCCCGAGGCCUGCACCUCCCUCCUAGCGAUUAUUUUUGACGCCCGCCCUCCUGAGCCUCCUGAGCCUGCUGCCAGAGAGAGGGCCCAUCUCCAACUGCCGCUCACGAUUUAUUUACACCUCGCAGAGAGACUGUACAAAGGAACUGCCGCGAUCUCCCCACCCUUCAGGCGCAUUUCUGGACUGAGAACACCUCCACGCACGCAGAUGCACGCUCCGAAGCCCCGGCGACCGCCUGCCCGCGGCGCGCUCCUUGAGCUGCUCGCUCCUCUUACCCUGCCGCUGAUUCUGCACCGCCUGUCCCGCCGCCGCCCGCAGGACUUUGGGGUGGGACUCUGACUUCUACCGGCUGUUUGCCCCCCGGUUUGUAGCCCAUCCCUCUCUCUCAUGCGUGCCCUCUCCACCUCUCCCUCCCAACCAGUGAGGUCCUGUUCUCCGUGGACCAUAGACAAAACAUUCCUAUAAUCCGAUUUCAAAGGAAAGAGUGUCCACCUUAUUUAAACCAUAAAACAAUUAAGCCCAGACGUCUAGCCAGCUCCGCGCUGCUGUUUUGUUCGGCCCCAUUCAGAAUCCAGAGCAGGGAGACAAACAGCACCAUAAAAGUGGCAUUUCGGGGCUGCGGAAAUGUACCUAUCCGCUGCCUUCCCAAGUGGAACAACCUUUGGGGUUUUGUGAUUCUGACAAAGGAGCAGAGGUGGGAGGGGAAGAUUAGGGAGGGAGGGCGU
Rhinolophus ferrumequinum (greater horseshoe bat) is the source of this 970-nucleotide long non-coding RNA. RefSeq lists it as uncharacterized. The record is from RefSeq and is a predicted model, not a curated record. The transcript is spliced from 3 exons. NCBI's taxonomy places the organism in Eukaryota, Metazoa, Chordata, Mammalia, Chiroptera, Rhinolophidae.